AUAUGAAUUAAGAGGCAACUCUUAACUGGCCAGUUAGGGAAAGGCCGAGAGGUUUAAGCUUAACGGGCAGAAAGUUCUGCAGAGUAGUACUAAAAUUGCAGGACGGGAGGCUUGGCGGUAGUACUAAAACGACGGGCCAA
This 140-nucleotide non-coding RNA is filed under the name unclassified sequences. The record is from Rfam.